UACGUAGGGUGCGAGCGUUGUCCGGAAUUAUUGGGCGUAAAGGGCUCGUAGGCGGUUUGUCGCGUCGGGAGUGAAAUCCACUGGCUUAACUGGUGGCUUGCUUUCGAUACGGGCAGACUGGAGGUAUGUAGGGGAGACUGGAAUUCCUGGUGUAGCGGUGAAAUGCGCAGAUAUCAGGAGGAACACCGAUGGCGAAGGCAGGUCUCUGGGCAUUAACUGACGCUGAGGAGCGAAAGCAUGGGGAGCAAACGGG
RNAcentral lists this ribosomal RNA (253 nucleotides) under uncultured bacterium. RNAcentral's name for it is "partial 16S ribosomal RNA". It matches the Rfam family "Bacterial small subunit ribosomal RNA", at positions 524 to 776 of the family's 1533-position model. The record is from RNAcentral.